UACGUGAGGGGCGAACGUUGUUCGGUGUCACUGGGCUUAAAGGGUGCGUAGGUGGUUGCGUAAGUAAGGUGUGAAAUCCCUCGGCUUACCCGGGGAAUUGCAUUUUAUACUGCGUGGCUUGAGGACUAAAGGGGAAAAGGGAACUCCAGGUGUAGCGGUGAAAUGCGCAGAUAUCUGGGGGAAGGCCGGCGGCGAAGGCGGGUCUCUGGGCCAAAACUGACGCUGAGGAGCGAAAGCGUGGGGAGCGAACAGG
Molecule: ribosomal RNA, 253 nt
Filed under: uncultured bacterium
Lineage: Bacteria
Description: partial 16S ribosomal RNA
Rfam family: Bacterial small subunit ribosomal RNA
Source: RNAcentral